UACGGAGGGUGCAAGCGUUAAUCGGAAUUACUGGGCGUAAAGCGUGCGCAGGCGGUUUGUUAAGUCUGCUGUGAAAUCCCCGAGCUCAACUUGGGAAUUGCAGUGGAUACUGGCAAGCUGGAGUACGGUAGAGGAAGGUGGAAUUCCCGGUGUAGCAGUGAAAUGCGUAGAGAUCGGGAGGAACACCAGUGGCGAAGGCGGCUACCUGGACCAGCACUGACACUGAGGCACGAAAGCGUGGGGAGCAAACAGG
RNAcentral lists this ribosomal RNA (253 nucleotides) under uncultured bacterium. RNAcentral describes it as "partial 16S ribosomal RNA". It matches the Rfam family "Bacterial small subunit ribosomal RNA", at positions 524 to 776 of the family's 1533-position model. The record is from RNAcentral.